UACGUAGGGUGCAAGCGUUAAUCGGAAUUACUGGGCGUAAAGCGUGCGCAGGCGGUUUUGUAAGUCUGACGUGAAAUCCCCGGGCUUAACCUGGGAAUUGCGUUGGAGACUGCAAGGCUGGAGUCUGGCAGAGGGGGGUAGAAUUCCACGUGUAGCAGUGAAAUGCGUAGAGAUGUGGAGGAACACCGAUGGCGAAGGCAGCACCCUGGGUCAAGACUGACGCUCAUGCACGAAAGCGUGGGGAGCAAACAGG
Molecule: ribosomal RNA, 253 nt
Filed under: uncultured bacterium
Lineage: Bacteria
Description: partial 16S ribosomal RNA
Rfam family: Bacterial small subunit ribosomal RNA
Source: RNAcentral